GAUGAACGCUGGCGGCGUGCCUAAUACAUGCAAGUAGAACGCUGAAGGAGGAGCUUGCUCUUCUGGAUGAGUUGCGAACGGGUGAGUAACGCGUAGGUAACCUGCCUGGUAGCGGGGGAUAACUAUUGGAAACGAUAGCUAAUACCGCAUGACAACAGUUAUUGCAUGAUAACUGUUUAAAAGGGGCAACUGCUCCACUACCAGAUGGACCUGCGUUGUAUUAGCUAGUUGGUGAGGUAACGGCUCACCAAGGCGACGAUACAUAGCCGACCUGAGAGGGUGAUCGGCCACACUGGGACUGAGACACGGCCCAGACUCCUACGGGAGGCAGCAGUAGGGAAUCUUCGGCAAUGGACGGAAGUCUGACCGGGCAACGCCGCGUGAGUGAAGAAGGUUUUCGGAUCGUAAAGCUCUGUUGUAAGAGAAGAACGAGUGUGAGAAUGGAAAGUUCACACUGUGACGGUAUCUCACCAGAAAGGGACGGCUAACUACGUG
RNAcentral lists this ribosomal RNA (495 nucleotides) under uncultured bacterium. RNAcentral describes it as "partial 16S ribosomal RNA". It matches the Rfam family "Bacterial small subunit ribosomal RNA", at positions 28 to 507 of the family's 1533-position model. The record is from RNAcentral.